GCCAGCAGCAUACCCCCCUGCAUCCCACUGCUGGCUUUCCACUGAAGCUAAGCAGGUUUGGUCCUGGUCGGUCCCUGGAUUGGAGACCAGAUGCUGCUGGAA
RNAcentral lists this ribosomal RNA (102 nucleotides) under Hucho hucho (huchen). The record is from RNAcentral. Lineage: Eukaryota; Metazoa; Chordata; Actinopteri; Salmoniformes; Salmonidae.